AGAGAGUGUGCGAUUGAGUGGUUGCUUAAGUGGUAUUGUAGGUUGGCUUAUGAAUGACUGCAUUUAUGUGAGAGAGAGAGAGAGAGAGAGAGAGAGAGAGAGAGAGAGAGAGAGAGAGAGAGAGAGAGAGAGAGAGAGAGAGAGAGAGAGAGAGAGAGAGAGAGCAAGUGAGCGAGCAUUCAAGGAAAAAAAGUGGUGCAGGUGACUCUUCUAAGACAUUUGGGGUGAAGUGUAAUUUCUAAAAAGUUGCCUACAGGAUAGCUUGCAGCUUCAGGGUUUUCCAUAUUAGAUAUCAACUCUCUUUUCCUUUAUCUAUCAGUUUUUAUCCUCUUUCACACAGAAAAUGCAAUGUGCUAACUCUUGUAUUUCUCAUUUCAAAUAACAUUAUCCCCAUCCUCAUAAAAAAGUAAACAUUAAAUGUUUUAACCCUAGUUCUUGCAGAUGCAGUCAAGUAUAGCCUUAAUGAGAAAAUUCCAUGCCUUCGCCUAAAACACCAACAUAUGAUAGGCUAUUUUAUGUCAAGAAGCAUACACAGGGAACUGCAUCUAUAGAUACUGUUGAUACAGUGAAAAAAUAUAACUUCUAUAGUAGCCUUCUAAAAUCUGAUAUGUCUUACCUUCCAAAGUCAUAAUACCAUUAUGGAAAUUAUAAGAUAUUCAUACCAAGUAAUUCUAGAAUCAAAGAAAGUUUUUAACAUUUGUGUGCUAACACUACACAAAUUGAUGCUUUAUUCAGCAAAAGAAGAGAGCUCAUCCUGAAUCAGUCAAAUGCUUCCACAAUAGUUUCUAUUCUUUCCACAUUUGGUCUUCUUACUCUUUGUGCUUUCACACAUGUUGCAUUUAUAAAGACUCUGAUUAAUCUUUGGACCCAUAAUAAAGGUAUUGAAAACUGUAAAGUUUGUCAACUAUAGGCUAAUAUGCUUAUGCAAUAACUUGCACAAAAUUCAGUUAAAGCUCGGAUUAGGAAAGGGUGAAAGACAUUGAGUUUGUAGUCAGAAUGAGUAGCUGCAUGAACACUUUAUAUAAACUAGUCAUCCAUGUUUAGUAGCAUGAAUGUUUAACUACAGGGCCAAGUUGGCAAACAAGAAAAAAAGAAAAGAAAAAAAAAAGUCAGUAGAGUCUGCUCACAUAGAAGCAAUUUUGUGACCUAGGGGAAGCAGUGCUCAUUUAAGAAGUGUGUGAAAAACCUCAUCCUUAAAGUCAGUUAUUUUGUGUUAUCAUUGCCAAUCUUGGGGAUUUGGAUUGAAGUCUUAAUAUUUUCCUUGCUUAAGGACCCAAGUCAGUUUUUCCAGGGGAGGCAUUGUAUAUAGAGUACAUAUUUUAUAUUUAUUUAUCAUGGUUUAUAUUGAUAUUAUUUUAUACCACUAAAGAGUAUCUAUAAGACCUAAUGCAUUGAUAUGGGUUUAGUAAUGUGUAUUGUUGUUUUGCUUUUGCCCGCAGGAUUAGAGAGAUAUUCUGAAUUACAUUGCCUCUUUUACCUUCUAAAGGCCACACUUGACAGUUAACAAUCACAUUUCCAUGGCCUGAGAGCUCCCUUUCAAUUAUAACAAUAAGAGUAAUUUAUUAAAAUGUGAUAUUUUUCUAGUGUUAACAAUUGGGAGAAAUAAUAACAUGUGUUCCACCAUCACCUCAUCUCAUACCCCCUUCCCUGUUUACGUUCAGCUUAAAAUCACUACCAUUUUAGGAGACUCUUUUGUUAACCACUUGGUCAUGGGUGGCCUACCACAUUAAGCUGGAAUAUUUGUAGUUGAUGGAGAAUUUGCUGAUAGGUGUUGUUGGUCCAGGAAGAUUUCUAUUGAAAACUUAGAUUCUGGUCCCUUCUUUUGAGAUGUUGGGAUAGCAAUUCCUUCUGGAAUCGUUGUAAAUUCUGAGAUCCUUUUUUGAUGGCCUUGUAGUUAAUACGAUUGAUAUAAUGUUCUAGUUGUUGAUAACCUUUUAUUAUAGGGAAUAUAUACCACCCCUCCCAAUAACCCUCCAGCUGCAAGUUCAGCUGUAAAAGACAGACAAGAAAAUGGACAAGAAGUUGUUUGAAGUUCUUACCCAAAAGUUUCAGGGAUUUGAAUAAUGGAAGAAACCAAAGACUAUAUACAAAAGAUAGGAAAUAGUCCGAAUCAGUAUGCCAGGUCUUCGAAAGUUCCCCCCAUGUGUGUAAGUGGACAUGUUGCUGAGUUAGGCUUAUUUAUGUAACGUCUUGUUUAGAUGGUUUGACAGUUUUGCAAUCGUGGAACUCUUAAGAGCAAAGAACCUCAUCAAGUUAUACUUCAAGAUCAACAAGACAGCUGCAGAAAAUAAUUGGUUGCUUCAGGAAGCCUUUGGUGACAGAGCCAUGUCCCAAAGCAGAACAUUUUCUAGGACAAGCAUUUUAAGGAAGGACAAACAUUUGUCAAAGAUGAUUAUUGCUCUGGAUGACUGGGGAUGAGUACAACAGCAGAACAAGCAAAAAAGUGCAUUGGGCUAUCCUUGCAGAUUAUGGACAAAUGAUCUGAGAAGUUUGCGAUAUUAUUGGAUUGACAUACGGAAGCAUUCAACCUUUUUUAUGUUGAUGCAAAAAUUGUCCUGAGAAUACUGAAUGGUGAAUAGAAGGCGCAAUACAUCAUAUUUUGCAGGGAGCUGAAAAAUUAAGUAUAUAUCCUGGAAGAAGAGGAAACUAUUCCCAGGAAAGGGACUUACUACUCAUUUUCCCUCUAGAAGUAAAAUAAAUACAAGGAAGGUAGCCAUGACAAGAGAGUAACCUCAUGUUCUCUCCAGAAGUGAAAGUAAGAGAAAUGUAGUCGCCAACAAGGAUUAAGAAGAAUGACAUGCAGUCCCCAAGAAUUGUCUUGAAUUUUGAAGGUUUUGAUGUGUAAUUAACUUGAAAUAAACCAGAGUAUUA
Molecule: long non-coding RNA, 2871 nt
Filed under: Penaeus japonicus
Lineage: Eukaryota; Metazoa; Arthropoda; Malacostraca; Decapoda; Penaeidae
Description: uncharacterized LOC122258660
Source: RNAcentral